GAUGAACGCUAGCGGCAGGCUUAACACAUGCAAGUCGAGGGGUAUAGUUCUUCGGAACUAGAGACCGGCGCACGGGUGCGUAACGCGUAUGCAAUCUACCUUUUGCAGAGGGAUAGCCCCAGAGAAAUUUGGAUUAAUACCUCAUAGUAUAGCAGUUUCGCAUGAAAUCACUAUUAAAGUCAUAACGGCAAAAGAUGAGCAUGCGUCCCAUUAGCUAGUUGGUAAGGUAACGGCUUACCAAGGCUACGAUGGGUAGGGGUCCUGAGAGGGAGAUCCCCCCACACUGGUACUGAGACACGGACCAGACUCCUACGGGAGGCAGCAGUGAGGAAUAUUGGACAAUGGGCGCAAGCCUGAUCCAGCCAUGCCGCGUGCAGGAUGACGGUCCUAUGGAUUGUAAACUGCUUUUGUACAGGAAGAAACACUCCCUCGUGAGGGAGCUUGACGGUACUGUAAGAAUAAGGAUCGGCUAACUCCGUGCCAGCA
This 486-nucleotide ribosomal RNA is filed under the name uncultured bacterium. Its description in RNAcentral is "bacterial SSU rRNA". It matches the Rfam family "Bacterial small subunit ribosomal RNA", at positions 28 to 513 of the family's 1533-position model. The record is from RNAcentral.